This 88-nucleotide transfer RNA is filed under the name Actinoplanes philippinensis. RNAcentral describes it as "tRNA-Thr". It matches the Rfam family "SAM (S-adenosyl methionine) riboswitch aptamer", at positions 26 to 109 of the family's 116-position model. From Rfam's summary of the family: SAM-IV is a mRNA element that regulates gene expression via direct sensing of S-adenosylmethionine (SAM or AdoMet). SAM-IV riboswitches share conserved nucleotide positions with the previously described SAM-I riboswitches sequence analysis and molecular recognition experiments suggest that SAM-I and SAM-IV riboswitches share similar ligand binding sites, but have different scaffolds. The record is from RNAcentral. Lineage: Bacteria; Bacillati; Actinomycetota; Actinomycetes; Micromonosporales; Micromonosporaceae.
CGGCUCGCUGGCCGGCAACCCUCCGCUUCGUGGGCGGGGUGCCCCGGGUGAUGACCGGGUCCGGUGCGGUUCGUGCCGGGCAAGCCGC